CUAGGACGGGAGUAGUCCUAGGAUGGGUGACCCCCUAGGAAGUCGGGGCGUCACAGAUGGUAUCAGAGCCAAUUACCAGCCGGAAGUGUGAGAUGAGUCUCGGCUGAGCCAGGGUCUAAAUGACGGGCUAGCGAGACGAGUCUCACAUUGCCUGGUACUUGUGAGUCUGAGCUUGACGAGGACGUCAGGGUUUAAAGGAGGGGAGAUUGUGAGACCCCAGAUAGUCCUAUAUAUAAGAUAUAAUAGAGCUAACCUCUUAACCUGGCUUAAGCAUUUUGGGUGGUGGCUAGACCCAAGAGGUUAAGAGAGUUAAGUGUGCUAGGACGGGAGUAGUCCUAGGAUGGGUGACCCCCUGGGAAGUCGGGGUGUCACACUUGAGGGAGUGCACUGUAAUAUACCGAAAAUUCGGAAAAUAAAUAUCGAACUUUAGUCAAAUUGACCAAAGUGCGAGGAUGGAACACUUCGGAAAGUCCGAAGGUGUUAAAAUGAUCAAAAGUGAGUUAUGGGAGGUUUUCGAGAGCUAGAGAAUCAAAAUCUGCAUUCUGCAGGUUUUGAGCUCUCGGGGACCGGUCCCUGGUGGGAGAGACCGGUCCCCGAACGCGUAUGAAACGAGACAGCCGAAAAAUCGGCUAAGUCCUGAGAAGCCAGCUCUCGGGAACCGGUCCCUGCCAGAGAGACCGAUCCCCGAGAGACCGGUCCCCCAAGGCGAGACAGGAUGCAUCGCGCGCAGCAGCUCUGGCUACGCUGGGAGAGCUCUCGGAGACCGGUCCCUAGUCGGGGAGACCGGUCCCCGAGCCCGAAAUCUGCCCAGUCUAGGCAGUUGAAUAAGAUGAAAGUUGAGGGGUUUAUUUGUAUUUUGGCAACCCAAUAGCUAUGUAUUGGGGUAAAUGAGGGAUUUCUCUCAUUUUCACCCUCUCAUCCCCUCUCAUCUCUCUUUCUCUCUCUAGAAGACAAAGAAGGAGAAGAAGAAGAGAAGGAAAGGGAAGGAAAAGACGAAGAAGAAAGUGGAGAUGAAGCUAUUGGAGUGAAGCAACUUCAUCUUCUUCCUCUCUAGAGCAAGGAAGGAGCAAGCUUAGAGGUAAGCUUUGCCUCUUCUCAUGUUAAAUCCCAAACUAGGGUUUGGAUUAGAGUAAAGAUGGUUUUUAUAGAACUUUUAGAGUAUUUGAAAUUUUUCUUUUGCUUCUUGAGAGAUCAAAACUAUGAAAUGGGUAAAGCUUGAAGGUGAGCUUGACCCCUCUCAUGGUAGAAUCCAAACUAGGGUUUGGAUCGAAUUAAAGAUGAUUUAGAUGGACUCUUUAGAGUAUAGUGGAGCUACUUUUGCUUCCCAAUGAGAUCAAACCCUAGGUUUUGUAUAUGUAUUGGAGCUAGAGCACCAAAUUGGGGCUUUUGCUCAUGAGGGUUUCUAAGUGCAAUUGACCCUCUAGAAACCCAAUUCGGGGUAUUUCCGACACGUUGGUGCGCUCGGAUUAGCAUUACGAAAAGCCGAUGUAAAGUUAUGGGCAAAAUGGCCUAAGUUGGCUUCGUUUUGCCGCAGGUAAAGAACGAAGGAUCUAAAAAUCCCAAGAAAAUCGUCGGAGCACCUAAAGAGGCCUACAAGGUGGGUGGUGCUUUCCAAACUCAUUGAAAUUCUCUCUAUGCCUAAUGUGUCAUUCUUUGAGCAUAUGUUCUAUAUAUUGUUGCAUGCAUUUUAGGGUAAAGUAAUGAUGAAAUGUGAUGAUUGCAUGAUUGUGAGCACAACUUGCAUAAUGAGAUGGUUGAGAACCUAAUAAUGUCAAAACCCUAGAUGUAUGCAUGAGAGAAAAUGUGAGUACCAAAGUGAGCAAAAGAACAGAGUGACACCUUGACAUAGAUCGAGUGGCAUUGACAAUGUAAAGUAAAGAACACUAAAGCGAGCGUGAUGCAAAGAACCAAAGUGAUGUAAAAGAACGAGUAAUAUGAAAUAAAGUUAAAGUAAAAGUGACACUAUAGUUAGUGUGAGACAAAGAUCGAAUGUGAUGCAAAGAAUGAGGUAAAUGACUAAAGUUAAAGCCAAGUGGGGCAUAAAGAAAAAAAUUGAAAAGAAAUCCAAAGAAUGUGAAUGCUAGAGUUAGCAAAAGUAAAGAAAUGUAGAGAUUGUGAUUGCAUGAGCUUGCAACAUAAAGUGAAGAGAAGAACACUAGAGCUAGUGUAAAGUCGAGAUUGAACUUGAAAUCCUUUGAGUGAAGGAUAUAAUCAUACUUGCUAUGAGUUCCGUGCUCGAGGGUGGUCGCUCCCCCUCGGGCGAUGCGCUCCGGAGUUAUACAUCCGGGUUGGAGUAGACCCGUAAGGACGGUCCUAGCUUGUGAGUUCCUGCAAUGAUGGACUUAAUGUGAAGCAAGUUAAUGUGGCGAAACCCCCGGGUUAGCCUUGAGAUUAAAGAGCAAAGAGCAAAGAACAAAGUGUAAAGUUAAAGAACAAAGAGUUUGCAUAACCUGCAUUUAUUUAAUGUUGAGCAUAUUUCCUGCUUAUUGUUCAGGCAUAUUAGCAUCACGUUAUAGAUUGGUUAUUAUAUCUUGUUUAUCCUUUCUAUUAUUCCUGAGUUAGUCCUAGUGGGAAAGUCGGUGAUGUUGGGGCCGAACCCACUGGAAACUUUGUUGUAUUUCUCACCCCACUAUUUCCACAGAGCCGGGACCGAGCGAGCCGCCGAGCGAUCGAGGUAAAGGUAUCGCGCCUUAGACAGAGGCCACCAGAGUUGAGUUGGGUUUACAUUUUGUUAGUAGAGUACCCUAUGUUCAUCUUUUGUAUUUGAUGACUAGAGAUGUUGAGAAAAGAAUGUAAAGCUUAUUUUGAGGUAAAUGUGAUGUAAGAAAGAAAUGAUGCAAUGUGUAAUGAAGUACAAGGAAUCAUGAAUGUAAGUGAAUGCUUGUAUGUGAUCAAAACGAAUCAUAGUACUUGUGUGGAUAUUAGUUCCUUUCUUUCACUAAUGGCUAUUGCUUACCCUCGUGUAAGCCGUUUGUGUAUGUUUCCGCUAAUGCAAUUCUUGUUUGAAUAUGUAUAUGUGAUGAGCCUUGGGCGGAUAGGGGAAACUCUGUCCGUUCGGCGUCUGUUUGACGAGCUCGGGCCGGCCCAAAUUGGUAUCGGUCCCGGGGCGUGACAUGCACGAUGUGUUCCACGUGUCAAAUCUCCGCAAGUAUAUUCAUGAUCCCGACCAUAUCCUCUCGUUUGAGCCAUCCUAUAUAUAAGAUAUAAUAGGGCUAACCUCUUAACCCGGCUUAAGC
RNAcentral lists this long non-coding RNA (3236 nucleotides) under Ananas comosus (pineapple). RNAcentral's name for it is "long non-coding RNA (ACOM_LNC026293)". Lineage: Eukaryota; Viridiplantae; Streptophyta; Magnoliopsida; Poales; Bromeliaceae. The record is from RNAcentral.